CCCCCCUCAGCCAAUCCUGGGUAAUACGUACGCCUGUAAGGGUGAAUUCACCCCGCUUGCCACAGGAAACCCAAAGCUACUGAUAGUCCGGUCGCUUAGUGUUUCAAUCUAUACAUAGCGGACAAAAGCACCAAACUUGGCAUAAAGAUAGCCAAGAGGAUGCUAAUUAAUACUGAGACCGGUGCCCACCGGUACCACUUGAGGAUUUUGUGUAAUAACGGAAUAAAAAUUUGAAAAAAGCGUCCAUCACGGGCUCCCUGUGGUGAAAUUUAAAAUAUCUUGUAUUUCCAAAACAUUCCAAGGCGAAAUAUCUGAUUGUUUUUUUUUAGGGGAAAUAUAACACUAUUUGUUAAUAUUUCAAGAUAAAACUGUCGUCGGCUGCAUUAAAAUGAUUUAUUUAAGAGAAAACGUUUCCAAGCUAGACCCAAUCCCCCUCACGGUUAUCCAAGAUGGCGGCUUAUAUUGGCACUGUAUAUGCUGUAAGUACAUCAAAAAAAUUGCGUAUUUUAGGUAAAAAAAGCUCAUUCUUUAUAUAUCAAGGACAUACAAUGUCUAUAUCCUACUAAAUAUGAAAUUUUGUCUUGAUUUUAAAUAUAUUUUUUCUAAAUCUGCGAUAAUCUCAAUUAUCUGGUAUUUUGACGUUGGCUAAAUAAAAAGAGGUAGAGAUGGAUUUAAUAAGAGGGGGCUUUGUAAGUGUCUGUCAACUAGACACCAAAGACCAAUAAGAUGCUUUAGAUAUGCCUCCUUAAUAAAAGUUAUUAGGUUGUGAUUUUUUUCUUAAGAAUAUUAGAGGGUUUGGAUGUUCUGCAGAAUAAACAUCUGUAGAAACUCUUUGUCGCGCAAAUAGCGCAAAAUGGCACAGGAAUUGUCACAAAUUUGCGGUAUUAAUGCUCGAAAGCAUUAAAAAAAAGCUGACCAGCAGAGGCAAUACGAAAAAAAACAGUGCUUAUUGCUCCCUCCGUGUGCAUCAUAGUGAUGAGGUUGAACGCAUCGCAUGCUUUUAACAGGAUAGCAACCAACCUCAAACGAAUCGCCGCACCAAUAGAGGACUAUUUUAUUAUCCUAAACAUGAUUAAUGAUGACCUCAGGGAUGGAAAGGGGCCGUGGAGCAUAAGAAAAGGAAAGGCCUCCUGGAAGCGAGAGAGAAUGAUAAAAAAAGUAUAGAGCUUUUGUCAGGCUUAUUAAAUAUAUUAACAAAAUAUAUAAGUGGAGACUGUUGAAAAUGGUACGUUCCUUUUUCUGAUGUCCGAGCUCCUCAAUGUACAUGAGACACGCUUGGGACAGAGUUUUAGAGGCUUUUCCUAAGGUGCUGAUCAGUGAUCGGCAGACCGUUAUUGUAAUAAAGGGGAGAAAUUUAUUCUGAAACAAACUGAAAGAGACUUUUCAGAAUGAUGCGCGUACGCUAGCGUGUGCCCAGGGUCCGCGGGGAUUUCUUUUCCAAACAAAGGAUUUUUCCUUUCUCAGGGAUGUUUUCUUCGAGGUGCCAAAGAAAAGACGGUGCUAUAAACAAGUGUUCAAAAACUCUAGUGUUGACGAUACUAGCGAGGACACGUUUAGCCCAAAACCUGACGUAAGCCAGAAUUAUUCUUUUAUUUUAACGAUCAGAAGGUUUUGAGCGCCAUACCUGUAGACGCCAGCCACCGCUGCCGAUCUAUAUUAGUUCGAUAUCCUUUUUUUUUUUUUACAAAAUAAAAACAUAAAUCAUGGAAUGUUAUUAGCUAGGGUUUUCGGCUUCAUACGACCGAGUGGUUGGAAGUCAAGGGCGUCUGCCGGCGCCCCCUAUUUGACCCAUAACUAGCAUGGGGUAGAGCGAGGCUCUCGCCUCGGAAACAAUUGUGAUACUUUGAUUUUAAAAUAACAUAGGGCCGUAACAAAAGGAUAAACAAAUGAUCCGAGUUGUCAUGGUAUAAUUUAUCAAUGCACAAUAGGCUAUGAAAAAUCUCCCUCAUCGGUAGCAUAUUUUUUCCUGCUGACGGGCCUAUUAAUUACAGCCGCGCUGGUUGAAUUAAGCUCUUUAUCCCUUAAUAUAAUACUUAGAGAACUCAUUGAAAGAAAAUUUCUGGGAAAAUUCAUGUGCACCACCUAUUUGUGCUUAUUUGAUGAAUACAAAUCAGUCACAUUUGCAUGUUAGGGAUGUAAAUAGAGCCGCUUGGGGCCUGGGUUCCAGUAGGUUUUCCUUCUUCUUCAAAUGUAGCUUUUUAUAGCUAUCUAUAUGUUUCUUGGCACGGAAUUCGAUAGAAUACAGCUGAAAUGAUAGAAAUCGUUUUCAAAUAUGUGCAUUUUGAUCUUUUGUGUGUCUUGAAAAGGUAUGAAAAUCUUACCACACCAGAUUUCUAAAAAAAAAAUAAUUGCUCUUUAUUUAUGGAUCCGCAAAUGGUACCGGUGGGCACCGGUCUCAAUAUUGCUUACCAUUCUCUAGGCUAUAUUUAUACCAAGUUUGGUGCUUUUGUCCGCUGUGUAUAGAUUGAGCUCUUUUUGUGCGCUAAGCCACCCGACUAUGACAUCCCCGGACUAGGGUACCAAUUUCCUUCUCCUUAGCAAAGCUGCAAGUGGACGUGAAAUACACCGAUUUCUGAUAACGCUAUUUUUUUUCUUGGUCAUAAAAUAAAAAUCCUUUUACCAUAAUCUAUUAUUUUUGCCCUUUUUUUUUACUUGUGUCCUUGUAUUAACAAAGUUGACUAAAUGCAAUAAUCAUAAAGACAUUUUUUAUAAUAUUUGUUUCUUUUUUGGUGGCUUUAAUGGUUAUAUUUUAGUAAAAAAAAAGUCAUGUUGUGAAAAAAGGGUGAUAUAUUCAUUUAGAGGCUCUGAUAAAAUGUAGACAGUAAUUAAAAUAAGAACAAGGUCUGCAAAAGGUCAUUAUUCCCUUAUAGUCUUUAAGGUAGUUGAUUUAGUGAAAUUAAUGUUGCCUUUAAAAAGUAGUAUGGAAGAGUUCACAUACGUAGGCAUUUAUUAUAGGCAAAUACCUAAACACAUGAAAAAUGGAAAUAUUUAAAAAAAUGUCCAUUGUAAAAAGUAAAUUAUUAUGAAAACUCAACUCGAGAAAUACGUAAGCGGAAGGAUUGAAGAUGAUUUGUGUGAAUUCUGGAGAAUGUAACUGGAUUAGUGAAAUUAUUUGAUUGGAACGGACACCUGCGCUCUAAAAAGAGACGAGGACAAAACAGCGAAAAUAUGCGGUUAUUGUUUAAGGCUUUACUAUUAUUUGUUUAAUUGUCACUCUUUUGUUGCUCUUUAAAAAAUACACGGCAACAAAAUAAAAUGUGAUAACCAAUUUUAGCUGGCUUAAAAAUGUCGAAGAGUAGAAAUUCAGAAAAGACGACACAUUAAAAUGAGCCACUGACUUUGCCUAAACAACACCGUUAAUGGUCUAUACACCGAUGAUAAAAAUUAUAGAAAUUAUAUUUCCCACAAAGACAGGGUUUUCGGGUUAACUUAGAAUAGAGUUUUAUUGUGACACUUUCCAAAUGAUGAUUUAUCCUCUUACUGUAUUGCUUUUAAACAUACCAUUUCUUGAAGUUAAAUUACAAAAUAUUAAAUGUAGAAAUUGUUCUCAGCAUGGGGCUCUUAAUCUUCACAAACCUAGUGACCGUGAUAACCAAUCUAUCUCAAACAUUACUUUGCUCAAGAUAACUUUUUUUUGCUCUGAAUUUUUAUGCCUCUCCGCGAGCAUAUUAUUCCCUGUUUGCAUCUAGGAGUCUCCAUAAAGUCUCCGAAGAACGUUUCGGAUAAACGGAGGCGCCUUAAAGUUCAGAAUUCCCUAAUCACGUUAUCGUACUCUGAGGGCAAAUUUCAUUCUAGAAUAAAGAAAUGAUCACUUACUUCUUAGAGGUGAGGAAGGAAGGGCUGUCCAGCCGCGCCUUCGUUCGAUUCUUUUGUCUACCUGUGAAUUGAGCACAUUGUCGCAAAAAAGUCGCUUUAUUAGUAUGGAAUGUAAGUUUUCUUCAUAAGUUCCGUUUGCGCAAAUUACGGUAUUCAGCUACAAUAUUGAUCAAUUAAAUGGCAUUACUUUUUAAACCCACGUCUAAUUUUAAUCGUUCAAAUAAAUAAGUUUAAAAAUCUAACAAUUGACGAACGUAAGCGCAUUAUUUCAAGGUGAAAAUGAUUGUUUGCCACAUCGGAUGUAAGGAAUAUCGCAGCCAGCAAUUUAUUUUUGAAAAUUAGUGUCGUUGUCUUUCUACAGUUGUCAAGGGUGUUUUUGCCGUUUAUCAGAUUUUCCCUGUUGCCCUUUUCCAUUCAAAGGGCUUGUAGUUCAAGGAAAAACAGCACAGCAAAUAGACAUAACUGUUCCAUUUUUUUCUUGGAUAUAUUUUUGCCGAGCUCGAUUUAGACAUGUUGAGCAAAGCUAAAUAAAAAUAGUCCUCUUAUUAGAUCUAAGCUCGUAGAAAUGUCAUAUUUACAAUUUUAAAACGGAAACUUUAUGAUAACAAAUCUGUAAAUCCUCCAGAAAAAGAAGUCAGGGCAAUGUUUGUGCGGCACGAGAUAUUGACUACUCCACUAAAACUGUCGACAGCUCAAUUUGUAUUCUUCCAUUUAUUUGUCAACACUUUUUUAAUCCAAUGUUUGUGCUAGAUAGUCCUUUUCUAAUCAUAUUUAAGAAAUUUGUUAAAACAGGCGUGCAAAAUAGACUAAAUUCUGUUAACAAAAUGGACAUGUUCUUUUUCUCAAAACGAGACCUUUCCCAAUAGCAUUCUAAAUUCCAAUCAUUUCUUUAUACAGGUUGAUUAUUUGAUAUUUUAGAAGCGUAAAGCAAAAGACACGAGAUCCUAAUUAUGAUAAAAUGGUCUUUAUUAUUUUGACGUCUCUCUUAUUUUUCUAUUACUGGAAAUUAAGAUUCCGUUCAACAAUUUUAUCUGUAAGUCCGAAUUAAAUGCCGUCGGGAAAAUUCCAAUUCGCGAUAUUCGCCAAAUUUCCCUAGAUCGCGUGUCUAAUGUUAUAGUUAUAAUUCAAGUACAGCAGUGAUUUAGCCAAAACAACGGAUUUCUUCCUAGCUUGAUAUCUUCUGCUAAUGUCAUAUGUUUUCUAAUUUUGAAAAAAAAAGGACAGACUUGUAAGAGUUUUAUUUCGUAUCCAAGAUAUUUCAUAUUUUGUUCUGAUAAGUAAUUUGGGCAUUUUAAGGCCAACAAAUCCAUCUUGUGUAUUAUUCACAAUUUAUAUGAAAUAUUUUCAUUUUUCUAGUAACACAAUUUGUAGUAGAUCACCUUGGAAAAGUCAGCGUUGGUUUAAUUUUAUUUACUUUAUUGCUCCUGGGGCAUGUAAUUCAAAGAAAGAUUACACUGGCAAUGGGAUGAUAUCUAUUGUUGUAGGAGGGUAAACAUUAGGGCAGAUAAGAGCUCCAUCGUAAUUAAAAAUCCCAUGGUGUACACCGUUUGCUGCUUUUACUUCUUGCGGCAUACUUUUACAAGAUCGAGUGAAGAUAAUAAGAAAUGAACGCUGAGUUUGAAACGCUGCCCAAAAUCUAAAUCACCCAGGAAGCAGUCUUAGAAAUACUCUAUUAUUUGCAAUUAAACUUUCAUCAAUUGUAAUUCUCUUAGUUACUGAACAAAUUUAGUGUAGUGUUAAAAACAAAUAAGUGUAAAUUGAACAGUGAGGCAUGAUAAUUGAUCAGAGUCGUAUUAUUGGGUUCAAUAACUGGGGAAUUAUCAUGAAGGAUUCAGGGAAAGGUUCACGGGAAACUAGUGUUCCAUUCUAUUGCGAGAUUCAGCGAGAUAAGAGGAGGCGGUGAUUACGGACACAUUUAUUCUUCUUUAAUUUGAUCUUUUGAUCGGAAAAAAGGAAGUACGAAAGCUAGCGGUCUCAUUAAGGGUCCCGGCCACGGUAUAAAAAGGGUCGUCGAAUCGUUGAGAGCCACACUUGACGAAGAAUCUCUUAAGAACAACAUCUCUCCCAAGCGAAGAGUCAAUACCUUCAACUUCACCAUGAACACCAAGCUCGCUGCCCUUUUAAUAGUCGUCCUCGCCGUUAGCUUUGUCUCACAGACGGAGGCCUUCACAGCCGGCGCUGGUAACAUCGGCAAACGAGAGUACAACAAGUUGGGAGAGAGACUUCAGAGCAUGUGCCGAGUAGCGCAAUUCGCCUGCCAACAGCCCAUCAAGCGACUCGUCGAAAAAGCCGCCGACGAUCAAUAGACGCUUCGGAUCCAGAAAUCGCCUUGAUAUUUGACUGGACUAUGUAUAGUAAUACAAUUAUUAACUGAACGACUCUCCCACCAUUGCCUCGACAAUCUGGCAUCUUUAUAGCAUAAAAAUGUGUGAAUAAACUAUCAUCCGUAA
Molecule: long non-coding RNA, 6266 nt
Organism: Nematostella vectensis (starlet sea anemone)
Lineage: Eukaryota; Metazoa; Cnidaria; Anthozoa; Actiniaria; Edwardsiidae
Exons: 2
Source: RefSeq, a predicted model, not a curated record